AGAGUUUGAUCCUGGCUCAGAACGAACGCUUGCGGCGUGGAUAAGACAUGCAAGUCGAACGAGAGAAUUGCUAGCUUGCUAAUAAUUCUCUAGUGGCGCACGGGUGAGUAACACGUGAGUAACCUGCCCCCGAGAGCGGGAUAGCCCUGGGAAACUGGGAUUAAUACCGCAUAGUAUCGAAAGAUUAAAGCAGCAAUGCGCUUGGGGAUGGGCUCGCGGCCUAUUAGUUAGUUGGUGAGGUAACGGCUCACCAAGGCGAUGACGGGUAGCCGGUCUGAGAGGAUGUCCGGCCACACUGGAACUGAGACACGGUCCAGACACCUACGGGUGGCAGCAGUCGAGAAUCAUUCACAAUGGGGGAAACCCUGAUGGUGUGACGCCGCGUGGGGGAAUGAAGGUCUUCGGAUUGUAAACCCCUGUCAUGUGGGAGCAAAUUAAAAAGAUAGUACCACAAGAGGAAGAGACGGCUAACUCUGUGCCAGCAGCCGCGGUAAUACAGAGGUCUCAAGCGUUGUUCGGAAUCACUGGGCGUAAAGCGUGCGUAGGCUGUUUCGUAAGUCGUGUGUGAAAGGCGCGGGCUCAACCCGCGGACGGCACAUGAUACUGCGAGACUAGAGUAAUGGAGGGGGAACCGGAAUUCUCGGUGUAGCAGUGAAAUGCGUAGAUAUCGAGAGGAACACUCGUGGCGAAGGCGGGUUCCUGGACAUUAACUGACGCUGAGGCACGAAGGCCAGGGGAGCGAAAGGGAUUAGAUACCCCUGUAGUCCUGGCAGUAAACGGUGCACGCUUGGUGUGCGGGGAAUCGACCCCCUGCGUGCCGGAGCUAACGCGUUAAGCGUGCCGCCUGGGGAGUACGGUCGCAAGAUUAAAACUCAAAGAAAUUGACGGGGACCCGCACAAGCGGUGGAGUAUGUGGCUUAAUUCGAUGCAACGCGUAGAACCUUACCUGGGCUUGACAUGUAAUGAACAACAUGUGAAAGCAUGCGACUCUUCGGAGGCGUUGCACAGGUGCUGCAUGGCCGUCGUCAGCUCGUGUCAUGAGAUGUUUGGUUAAGUCCAGCAACGAGCGCAACCCCUGUUGCCAGUUACCAGCACGUGAAGGUGGGGACUCUGGCGAGACUGCCCAGAUCAACUGGGAGGAAGGUGGGGACGACGUCAGGUCAGUAUGGCCCUUAUGCCCAGGGCUGCACACGUACUACAAUGCCCAGUACAGAGGGGGCCGAAGCCGCGAGGCGGAGGAAAUCCUGAAAACUGGGCCCAGUUCGGACUGUAGGCUGCAACCCGCCUACACGAAGCCGGAAUCGCUAGUAAUGGCGGAUCAGAAUGCCGCGGUGAAUACGUUCCCGGGUCUUGCACACACCGCCCGUCA
Molecule: ribosomal RNA, 1369 nt
Filed under: uncultured bacterium
Lineage: Bacteria
Description: bacterial SSU rRNA
Rfam family: Bacterial small subunit ribosomal RNA
Source: RNAcentral